AACUGCGAAUGGCUCAUUAUAUAAGUUAUCGUUUAUUUGAUAGCACCUUACUACUUGGAUAACCGUGGUAAUUCUAGAGCUAAUACAUGCUAAAAAUCCCGACUUCGGAAGGGAUGUAUUUAUUAGAUUAAAAACCAAUGCCCUCUGGGCUCUCUGGUGAUUCAUGAUAACUUCUCGAAUCGCAUGGCCUUGCGCCGGCGAUGGUUCAUUCAAAUUUCUUCCCUAUCAACUUUCGAUGUUUGGGUAGUGGCCAAACAUGGUUGCAACGGGUAACGGAGGGUUAGGGCUCGACCCCGGAGAAGGAGCCUGAGAAACGGCUACUACAUCCAAGGAAGGCAGCAGGCGCGCAAAUUACCCAAUCCCGACACGGGGAGGUAGUGACAAUAAAUACUGAUACAGGGCUCUUUUGGGUCUUGUAAUUGGAAUGAGUACAAUUUAAAUCCCUUAACGAGGAACAAUUGGAGGGCAAGUCUGGUGCCAGCAGCCGCGGUAAUUCCAGCUCCAAUAGCGUAUAUUAAAGUUGUUGUGGUUAAAAAGCUCGUAGUUGAACCUUGGGCCUGGCUGGCCGGUCCGCCUCACCGCGUGCACUGGUCCGGCCGGGCCUUUCCCUCUGUGGAACCCCAUGCCCUUCACUGGGUGUGGCGGGGAAACAGGACUUUUACUUUGAAAAAAUUAGAGUGCUCCAGGCAGGCCUAUGCUCGAAUACAUUAGCAUGGAAUAAUGAAAUAGGACGUGCGGUUCUAUUUUGUUGGUUUCUAGGACCGCCGUAAUGAUUAAUAGGGACAGUCGGGGGCAUCAGUAUUCAAUUGUCAGAGGUGAAAUUCUUGGAUUUAUUGAAGACUAACUACUGCGAAAGCAUUUGCCAAGGAUGUUUUCAUUAAUCAGGAACGAAAGUUAGGGGAUCGAAGACGAUCAGAUACCGUCGUAGUCUUAACCAUAAACUAUGCCGACUAGGGAUCGGACGAUGUUAUUUUUUGACUCGUUCGGCACCUUACGAGAAAUCAAAGUGCUUGGGCUCCAGGGGGAGUAUGGUCGCAAGGCUGAAACUUAAAGAAAUUGACGGAAGGGCACCACCAGGGGUGGAGCCUGCGGCUUAAUUUGACUCAACACGGGGAAACUCACCAGGUCCAGACACAAUGAGGAUUGACAGAUUGAGAGCUCUUUCUUGAUUUUGUGGGUGGUGGUGCAUGGCCGUUCUUAGUUGGUGGAGUGAUUUGUCUGCUUAAUUGCGAUAACGAACGAGACCUUAACCUGCUAAAUAGCCCGUAUUGCUUUGGCAGUACGCCGGC
This 1289-nucleotide ribosomal RNA is filed under the name Purpureocillium lilacinum. RNAcentral's name for it is "SSU rRNA". It matches the Rfam family "Eukaryotic small subunit ribosomal RNA", at positions 85 to 1407 of the family's 1831-position model. Lineage: Eukaryota; Fungi; Ascomycota; Sordariomycetes; Hypocreales; Ophiocordycipitaceae. The record is from RNAcentral.